GUGUUUUAUGAAAGUGAAGAAUUAAGUUAGCACUCCCCUUGACAAGAAUGGAAAAAUUCUGGUGACCUAUACCACACACAUACAUUUAGGGUAUCACCACCUUUUUAUAGCACCUAAGAAUAUUUUGA
Equus asinus (donkey) is the source of this 128-nucleotide small nuclear RNA. The record is from Ensembl. Lineage: Eukaryota; Metazoa; Chordata; Mammalia; Perissodactyla; Equidae.